AAGUAACUUAAAUUUUCUUUGUGGAUCCUUCCCUCUACACCGAUCACACCAGCGCUACCUCAGCACCAUGAUCUCCUCUCAGGCCACAACCAUACCUCGUUCGCAACCCAUGGCGAACCACCUCUACAGCACGAGCAGAUCAAAGACAAAAACGCAGCAGCAGGCUUCACACUAAGAUCCAUAGCAGCUUUCACAGUGUGGAAGAAGAUAAUCCACCAUCGUUGACGCACCUCACGACACCGCCAAUCUGCUAUAUGAGAAAACGAAGCAGAUGAUUUUCCCAAUCUUGGCAUCUUUGAUUUUCCCCCAAUUCUCUCCCUUGUAAUCUAAAAAUUUGUUUCUUUGACUUUCUUCAGCAAUUCUUUAAUUUUUCUCAUGGCUUCAGAUUCCAAAAAGGAUUUUCCUGCCGAGAAUAAUUUAAAGCUGCCAGAGGAACAGGAAGAGAUUGAAUCAAAGAACAUCAUUCUCGAACUUUCUUUCAUCAGCUCUUGAUAUCUGUAAUAUUAGAACAAGGCAAAAAAGCUCGAGGACUCUAAGCUUGGAAAACUAACAAAAAUAAUUGAGACUAUGCAGGCAGAGCAAUGUAUUCAUUCUCCGUUCUCC
Molecule: small RNA, 603 nt
Filed under: Vigna angularis var. angularis
Lineage: Eukaryota; Viridiplantae; Streptophyta; Magnoliopsida; Fabales; Fabaceae
Description: Non-protein coding transcript
Source: RNAcentral